UCGGUCCCUAUCUGCCGUGGGCGCUGGAGAAUUGAGGGGGGCUGCUCCUAGUACGAGAGGACCGGAGUGGACGCAUCACUGGUGUUCGGGUUGUCAUGCCAAUGGCACUGCCCGGUAGCUAAAUGCGGAAGAGAUAAGUGCUGAAAGCAUCUAAGCACGAAACUUGCCCCGAGAUGAGUUCUCCCUGAGGCUUUAAGUCUCCUGAAGGAACGUUGAAGACGACGACGUUGAUAGGCCGGGUGUGUAAGCGCAGCGAUGCGUUGAGCUAACCGGUACUAAUGAACCGUGAGGCUUAACCUU
Molecule: ribosomal RNA, 300 nt
Filed under: Klebsiella pneumoniae
Lineage: Bacteria; Pseudomonadati; Pseudomonadota; Gammaproteobacteria; Enterobacterales; Enterobacteriaceae
Description: bacterial LSU rRNA
Rfam family: Bacterial large subunit ribosomal RNA
Source: RNAcentral